AUUUAAAUAGCUUAAAUUUAGAGCAUAAUAUUGAAGAUAUUAAGGUAGUAAAAAUUACUUUUAAGUA
This 67-nucleotide transfer RNA is filed under the name Euoniticellus fulvus. RNAcentral describes it as "tRNA-Phe". The record is from RNAcentral. Lineage: Eukaryota; Metazoa; Arthropoda; Insecta; Coleoptera; Scarabaeidae.